Molecule: non-coding RNA, 302 nt
Organism: Cyanistes caeruleus (blue tit)
Lineage: Eukaryota; Metazoa; Chordata; Aves; Passeriformes; Paridae
Source: RefSeq, a predicted model, not a curated record
CAGGGCCAGACAUCUGGGGAGCAGUGACAGCAGUGAGGUUCAGGAGUUGAAGCAAAACGUUCUUUAAAGCAGGGAAAUGGAAAGUGUUACAAAUGGAGAAGCACAGCCCCUUUGAAGUGCCCUUGAGGGUGGCAUACAGUCUGGUAUAACCAAAGAAAGAUGGAGUGCAAAUCGAAUUGGGAUGCCAGAUCCUUUUCUGCCUCCUGGCCAGUAGGGCUGAAAUUCCUCCUUAUGUCUGGGAAAAGUGGGAAACCUGGCUGACUGCCAGCCUGCAGAUUAGGGCUGCUGAGAUGCUGUCAGCA